AUAAUUACCUGGACGGGGUCGAUGGGCGAUCAAUAAGGCCCAUGGCCUAGGUUGGUGAUCUCUAUUGCACUUUGGAGGGGUGCCCGCCUAAGGUCGGCUCAAGUGGUCGAACCUAUGUCAUAAUUUGUGGCAGCGGGGGCCUGCAUUCGCGCAGCUCCUAC
Molecule: small nuclear RNA, 161 nt
Filed under: Nicotiana sylvestris (wood tobacco)
Lineage: Eukaryota; Viridiplantae; Streptophyta; Magnoliopsida; Solanales; Solanaceae
Description: U1 spliceosomal RNA
Rfam family: U1 spliceosomal RNA
About the family: U1 is a small nuclear RNA (snRNA) component of the spliceosome (involved in pre-mRNA splicing).
Source: Rfam by way of RNAcentral